RNAcentral lists this ribosomal RNA (360 nucleotides) under Triticum aestivum (bread wheat). RNAcentral describes it as "partial small subunit ribosomal RNA". Lineage: Eukaryota; Viridiplantae; Streptophyta; Magnoliopsida; Poales; Poaceae. The record is from RNAcentral.
AUGCUUCUCCCUGUUCUUGAUCACACCAACACGCCCAGUGUUGCGCCCACCAGUCACCAUGACCACGUUGCCGACGUCAAACUUGAUGAAGUCAACAAUCUUGUUGGUCUCCAGGUCAAGCUUGAUGGUGUCAUUGGCCUUGAUGAGUGGGUCUGGGUAGCGGAUGGUGCGGCCAUCAUAGGUGUUGAGGUAUGGGAUGCCCUUCUGGCCAAACUGGACAGACCUGACCUUGCAGAGCUUGAACUGCACAUUAAUGAAACAAUCAUCCUCGUCCCUGACAGAGUGAAGGCGGAAGCGACCCUUGGUGUCAUACAGAAGCCUGUAGUUCUCACCAGUCUUGGGAAUGGAAAUGAUGUCUAG